RNAcentral lists this microRNA (24 nucleotides) under Cordylochernes scorpioides. Lineage: Eukaryota; Metazoa; Arthropoda; Arachnida; Pseudoscorpiones; Chernetidae. The record is from RNAcentral.
GGCCUGAACCUUUCGCUCAACCUU